Molecule: small nuclear RNA, 103 nt
Organism: Neomonachus schauinslandi (Hawaiian monk seal)
Lineage: Eukaryota; Metazoa; Chordata; Mammalia; Carnivora; Phocidae
Source: RefSeq, a predicted model, not a curated record
UUGCUUCAGUAGCACAUAUACUAAAACUGGAAUGAUGCAGAGAAGGUUAGCAUGGUCACUGUGCAAGGAUGACACACAAAUUCAUGAAGCGUUCCAUAUUUAA